RNAcentral lists this long non-coding RNA (1301 nucleotides) under Homo sapiens (human). Its description in RNAcentral is "HSALNT0092587". The record is from RNAcentral. Lineage: Eukaryota; Metazoa; Chordata; Mammalia; Primates; Hominidae.
UAGGACUCACAAAAGUGUGGGGCUUCUCUGUGAUUGGGUCCUCCUGGAGUUUUUAACUCUGAGGCUUGUCUACACCAAGCCUCCAGCAUUUCAUCGGUUACACUUUAGGUUUUCCUACCCCAGCACUGCUUCCUACAGAGGCUCUGUCUCAGUUUUCCAGCUGGGACAUAGUUUUUCUUCUGUCUUUCCACAUGGAUUCGAACUAACACCAUCAGCUCGCCUGCUUCUCAGACCUUCAGACUCAGAUGGAACUACACUAUAGGUUCUCCUGGGUCUGGACUUCUCAGCCUCCAUAAUCAUAUGUGGGAUUUGAGACCCAAAGAAGUGAAGUAACCUGCCCAAGUUUACACAGCUUGGAGUAGAACCCGAGUUUCUAUGGACUCCAGAGCUCAUGAGUUCACCACUUUUCUGUGCCUCCUAACUCUAUGCCGCUGAGGACUCAGAAGAAGCCAGUGCUAAUGCUUUCUCCAGUUUCUCUCCUCUUGUGUGAACUGUGUGAACUGCCACUUUAAGACUCUCUUGGAGAAUCAUAAUCCAAGUUGCGAAGUCCAACAAUUCCUCUGGAGAAAUGGUUCUCAACUGGGGGCAAAUUUGGGCCCCAGGAGACAUAUGGCAAUGUCUGACAAUGUUUUUUUGAUUGUUACAAACAGGUUGGGGAGAGAGUCCUGCUAGCAUCUAGUUGGUAGAGGCCAGGGAUAAUGCUGAACAGCCUGCAGGACACCCCGAACCCCAUCAAAGACCCAAAACGUCAAUGGUACUGAGGUUGAAAAACCCUGGUCUGGAGUUUUAAUCAGUUGGCCAUUUUUCCCAUCCCAUGUUGAAAUAUUUGUAUUUAAAACAUUACAUCUGGUUUAUUUUUUCAAGAUAAUGUCCAGUGUACAGUGGAAAAUGAUGUGUUUUCCUAUCACUUUGCUCAAGAAUAAAGCUGUAAUAUUUGCAAAAUAGAUAACCUUAGUUGUCACUCAAAAUGUAAACUGUCAUAAGGGAUAAGAGAUUAACUGAUUUCACUGUCAACCUUUACAGUGUCAUUAUUUUUCCCUGUAACUGUCUGCUUGAUAUCCUUGCUGACGAAGAUGUUUUAAAAUGGAAGACAAUUAGAGGCUUUAUGUUUAUGAAAAAUGAAGUGUUCACACACAAAAGAAUGCACAGUGGACCUUUUAUGGGAUGUUUAAAAUAUCCUUUCAUUAAAAGAUUUUCUUAAGUGGCUGUUUGUCACUUAAUAGGAAUCCCCGUUGUUGCUACUGUUGUUUUCAUGCAUAAAUACCAGCAUCUGUAGGUUUCCGGGGUGUUCUUUAGAAUUU